AUCAGAAAUGACUAAAAGUAUAGUGAGCAAUAAAGGUUACAUAAAAUGUUAGAUAAUUCAUAAAAGAAAAAUCAAAUAUCAGGGGAAAAAGCUUGACUUGAGAUACGUAGCAUCAUCAUGAAUAAAUAAAGUUCGAGAACGGAAACCAACUUUGGUAGAGACGGACAAGGGUGAAACUUAAUGCCCCUCCGCAAUGGCGGGGGCAUAAACAACUAUUUAAAUGAAACACAGA
This 232-nucleotide long non-coding RNA is filed under the name Mytilus galloprovincialis (Mediterranean mussel). Lineage: Eukaryota; Metazoa; Mollusca; Bivalvia; Mytilida; Mytilidae. The record is from RNAcentral.